RNAcentral lists this long non-coding RNA (1146 nucleotides) under Anas platyrhynchos platyrhynchos (common mallard). RNAcentral's name for it is "lncRNA (ENSAPLG00000016624.1)". The record is from RNAcentral. Lineage: Eukaryota; Metazoa; Chordata; Aves; Anseriformes; Anatidae.
GACAUUUGCGAGCCGGGGGGGCAUCGCUCCGCAGUGCCCGGCUCACAAAGAAGGACGGUGCCACGGGCAGGCAAGCAGAGGCAGCACGGAAACGCUCCUCCUGACAGCGAAUUUUUCCCAAAAAUUAAAAAAAAAAAAAAAAAAAAGCCACGAACGCCCGAGUUACUCACGAAUAACCAUGGCAAUGCGCGCAUCGAGCGAGAUGGAGAGAUUCAUGCAAGCGCGGCGGCUCCGCUUCCCCAGCUCUCUCCGGGAAAUGGUAGCGGUGCCAUCAAAGGCGAGGCUCUCCCCCCCAAAAAAAAAACGGGGCUGGCAGCCCAGGGAGCUGCACCCAAACUCCCCGCAACAGCCGCAGAAAGGAGCCGGGGUCGCGGCCGCCCCCCGGGCCCCUCCCCGGGCCCGCGGGGGCCCCGCCCCCCCCCCCCCCGCCGCCCAUUUCCUCGCCCCCGCUUUGCCGCUGGCUGCGGGCAGCCAAGUUCAGCCCCGGAGCCCCCCGCACACCCGCAGCGCUCCCCUCCCGCACCGCCAGCACCUUGCGGCGGGGCCCCGGGGAACAAAAGCCCGGUGCUGGGGGGCUCCCCCCGCUGCCUUACCCGGCCGCCCGCUCCUCCUCCACCUCCUCGGCGGCUCUGCGGAGAGCUGACGGCAGCCGCCAGCCGCCCCAACGCCAUUGCAGGCGGCCGGGGCCGCCGAGCGGGGGGGGGAGGAAGAGGAGGAGGAGGAGGAAGGAGGAGGAGGAGGAGAAGCCGCCGCGCCCCGCCGCAGCCGCCCCCUUCCCUCCCUGCCUCCCUCCGCCUGGCACGGCUCGGCCCGGCCGCUGACAGGUGCCUCACCUCCGGGGCUAGGGAGAAAGAGCGAGGCAGCAGGCGGCCGGCAGCCCUGCCGGGUGGGCACCGCCGCCCUCAGCUCCCCCCCCCCCGGCCAGGCUCGGAGCCGGGGUGCGCAGGGCGAGGAGGGGAAGGCUGCGGGGCGGGAGGGGCGGCUGUGGAGCCGGCCGCCUUCCCUCGCCGCUGCGCCCAGCCAGCCACUGAACCCUGCCGACACGCAGGGGAAAUGCGGCCGCAGCGCUCAGCAGCUGCUGGAGGGGACAAGGGGGACGUGGGGGGACCGGGCAACUCACAGCUGGCGGCACCACCGGCCCCAUAA